RNAcentral lists this ribosomal RNA (462 nucleotides) under uncultured bacterium. Its description in RNAcentral is "partial 16S ribosomal RNA". It matches the Rfam family "Bacterial small subunit ribosomal RNA", at positions 28 to 507 of the family's 1533-position model. The record is from RNAcentral.
GACGAACGCUGGCGGCGUGCUUAACACAUGCAAGUCGAACGGAAAGGCCCUUCGGGGUACUCGAGUGGCGAACGGGUGAGUAACACGUGGGUGAUCUGCUCUGCACUUUGGGAUAAGCCUGGGAAACUGGGUCUAAUACCGAAUAGGACCACGCGCUUCAUGGUGUGUGGUGGAAAGCUUUUGCGGUGUGGGAUGGGCCCGCGGCCGAUCAGCUUGUUGGUGGGGUAAUGGCCUACCAAGGCGACGACGGGUAGCCGGCCUGAGAGGGUGACCGGCCACACUGGGACUGAGGUACGGCCCAGACUCCUACGGGAGGCAGCAGUGGAGAAUAUUGCACAGUGGGCGCGAGCCUGAUGCGGCGGCGCCGCGUGCGGGAUGACGGCCUUCGGGUUGUAAACCUCUUUCAAUAGAGACGAAGCGCAAGUGACGGUACCUAUAGAAGAAGCACCGGCCAACUACGUG